AUGGAGAGUAGAAUCGGGGAGAGAGGGAGUGUGGGCGUGGAGAGGAGAGAGGGAGUGUGCUGCACGUGGGUGGGCCUGGAGAAGAGAAAGGGGGAGAGAGAGGCUAGCAAGUGGGCCGCGCUCGCCUCACGCCGCUGGCGCGACAUAGCCUCAAGCUCCCCCUUCCUGCGCCGCUUUCGCGAGCUCCACCCCCGGUCACCCAUCCUCGGCCUCUUCGCCUCGCAGCCAGACCUCCAGCAGCUCCCCAUCUUCCACCCCGCGGCCGCCGUCCGCUCCGACCCGGACCUCGUAGCCGCCGCGCGCGGGGGCGACUUCCUGCUCACCCGCCUCGAGGACGAGACGGCGUGGCGCUUCCGGGACUGCCGCAACGGGUGCCUCCUCCUCUGCAGAGGCGACUCCAUCUCCCUCUACGACCCCGUCUCCCACCGGCACGUCGCCGUGCCCCGUCCACGGAACGACGAACCACUCCUCCCAGUACUACCACCCGGAGCAGCGGAGUACAUAUGGGACUGCUUGCUGGACGGCCAUGGAGAAUUCCGCGUGGUCACCGUGCAGCGAGAGGGCCAAAGGUUGCGCGGCAUGGAGUACGCCUCCCGCACGGCCGAGUGGCGCAUCCACCCGUGGGUGGACGGCAUCCGCAUGCCUGCACAUGCGCAGAGCAUGUGA
RNAcentral lists this ribosomal RNA (666 nucleotides) under Triticum aestivum (bread wheat). Its description in RNAcentral is "partial small subunit ribosomal RNA". Lineage: Eukaryota; Viridiplantae; Streptophyta; Magnoliopsida; Poales; Poaceae. The record is from RNAcentral.